Molecule: ribosomal RNA, 690 nt
Filed under: uncultured Acidobacteriota bacterium
Lineage: Bacteria; Pseudomonadati; Acidobacteriota
Description: bacterial SSU rRNA
Rfam family: Bacterial small subunit ribosomal RNA
Source: RNAcentral
GAUCCUGGCUCAGAAUCAACGCUGGCGGCGUGCCUAACACAUGCAAGUCGAACGCGAAAGGGGAGCAAUCCCUGAGUAGAGUGGCAAACGGGUGAGUAACACGUGGGUGACCUGCCUUCGAGUGGGGGAUAACGUCCCGAAAGGGACGCUAAUACCGCAUGACAUCCUGCUUUUGGAGAAGCGGAAAUCAAAGCUGGGGAUCGUAAGACCUGGCGCUUGAAGAGGGGCCCGCGCCUGAUUAGCUAGUUGGUGAGGUAACGGCUCACCAAGGCGACGAUCAGUAUCCGGCCUGAGAGGGCGGACGGACACACUGGGACUGAGACACGGCCCAGACUCCUACGGGAGGCAGCAGUGGGGAAUUGUUCGCAAUGGGCGCAAGCCUGACGACGCAACGCCGCGUGGAGGAUGAAGAUUUUCGGAUCGUAAACUCCUGUCGAGUGGGAAGAACAGCUUCUGGGGGAAUACUCCGGGAGCCUGACGGUACCACUAAAGGAAGCCCCGGCUAACUCCGUGCCAGCAGCCGCGGUAAUACGGGGGGGGCAAGCGUUGUUCGGAAUUACUGGGCGUAAAGGGCUCGUAGGCGGCCAACUAAGUCGGAUGUGAAAUCCCCAGGCUCAACCUGGGAACUGCAUCCGAUACUGGAUGGCUUGAAUUCGGGAGAGGGAUGCAGAAUUCCAGGUGUAGCGGUGA